This 77-nucleotide transfer RNA is filed under the name Nocardioides sp. JS614. RNAcentral's name for it is "tRNA-Phe-GAA-1-1". It matches the Rfam family "tRNA". From Rfam's summary of the family: Transfer RNA (tRNA) molecules are approximately 80 nucleotides in length. Their secondary structure includes four short double-helical elements and three loops (D, anti-codon, and T loops). Further hydrogen bonds mediate the characteristic L-shaped molecular structure. tRNAs have two regions of fundamental functional importance: the anti-codon, which is responsible for specific mRNA codon recognition, and the 3' end, to which the tRNAs corresponding amino acid is attached (by aminoacyl-tRNA synthetases). tRNAs cope with the degeneracy of the genetic code in two manners: having more than one tRNA (with a specific anti-codon) for a particular amino acid; and 'wobble' base-pairing, i.e. permitting non-standard base-pairing at the 3rd anti-codon position. Lineage: Bacteria; Bacillati; Actinomycetota; Actinomycetes; Propionibacteriales; Nocardioidaceae. The record is from RNAcentral.
GGGCAGGUAGCUCAGUCGGUACGAGCGUCCGCCUGAAAAGUGGAAGGUCGGCGGUUCGACCCCGCCCCUGCCCACAA